UCUACCGUUUCAACAAACUGU
This 21-nucleotide non-coding RNA is filed under the name Caenorhabditis elegans. The record is from RNAcentral. Lineage: Eukaryota; Metazoa; Nematoda; Chromadorea; Rhabditida; Rhabditidae.